GAUGAACGCUGGCGGCGUGCUUAAUACAUGCAAGUCGAGCGAUCAGAUAAGCAGCUUGCUCCUUUGACGUUAGCGGCGAACGGGUGAGUAACACGUGGGUAACCUACCUAUAAGACUGGAAUAACUCCGGGAAACCGGGGCUAAUGCCGGAUAACCUUUAGCACCGCAAGGUUGUAACGUGAAAGAUGGUUUUGCUAUCACUUAUAGAGCGACCCGCGCCGUAGUAUCUAGUUGGUAAGGUGACGGCUUACCAAGGCAACGAUACGUAGCCGACCUGAGAGGGUGGUCGGCCACACUGGACCUGAGCCGAGGUCCAGACUCCGACGGGAGGCGGCAGAAGGGAGUCGACCGCAGUGGGCGAAAGCCUGACGGAGCAACGCCGCGUGAGUGAUGAAGUUCUGCGGAUCGUAAAACUCUGUUAUUAGGGAAGAACAAAUGUGUAAGUAACUGUGCACGUCUUGACGGUACCUAAUCAGAAAGCCACGGCUAACUACGUG
RNAcentral lists this ribosomal RNA (497 nucleotides) under uncultured bacterium. RNAcentral's name for it is "partial 16S ribosomal RNA". It matches the Rfam family "Bacterial small subunit ribosomal RNA", at positions 28 to 507 of the family's 1533-position model. The record is from RNAcentral.